UUUAAAGUCUAACCUGCCCAAUGAUUAUUAUUUAAUGGCCGCAGUAAUUUGACUGUGCAAAGGUAGCAUAAUCAUUAGUUUUUUAAUUGAAAGCUGGAAUGAAUGGUUGAACGAGAAAAAUACUGUCUCAAAUUAAUUUUAAUUAGAAUUUUAUUUUUAAGUUAAAAAGCUUAAAUAAUUUUAAAAGACGAGAAGACCCUAUAGAGUUUAAUAUUUUUGUAGGUUAAAUUUUUUAGGUAUAUUUUUAAUUUGAUUUGUAGAAUUAUUUUGUUGGGGUGAUAGAAAAAUUAAAUUAACUUUUUAUUUUUUUUACAUAGAUUUAUGGAUAAUUGAUCCACUUUUUGUGAUUAUAAGAUUAAAUUACCUUAGGGAUAACAGCGUAAUUUUAUUUAAGAGUUCUAAUCGAAAAUAAAGUUUGCGACCUCGAUGUUGGAUUAAAAUUAACUUUUGGUGCAGGAGCUGAAAGGUUAGGUCUGUUCGACCUUUAAAAUUUUACAUGAUCUGAGUUCAAACCGGAGA
RNAcentral lists this ribosomal RNA (519 nucleotides) under Congella sp. SA1. Its description in RNAcentral is "partial 16S large subunit ribosomal RNA". It matches the Rfam family "Bacterial large subunit ribosomal RNA", at positions 1844 to 2622 of the family's 2925-position model. The record is from RNAcentral. Lineage: Eukaryota; Metazoa; Arthropoda; Insecta; Coleoptera; Scarabaeidae.